RNAcentral lists this ribosomal RNA (497 nucleotides) under uncultured bacterium. RNAcentral describes it as "partial 16S ribosomal RNA". It matches the Rfam family "Bacterial small subunit ribosomal RNA", at positions 28 to 507 of the family's 1533-position model. The record is from RNAcentral.
GAUGAACGCUGGCGGCGUGCCUAAUACAUGCAAGUCGAGCGAACAGACGAGGAGCUUGCUCCUCUGACGUUAGCGGCGGACGGGUGAGUAACACGUGGAUAACCUACCUAUAAGACUGGGAUAACUUCGGGAAACCGGAGCUAAUACCGGAUAAUAUAUUGAACCGCAUUGUUCAAUAGUUAAAGACGGUUUUGCUGUCACUUAUAGAUGGAUCCGCGCCGCAUUAGCUAGUUGGUAAGGUAACGGCUUACCAAGGCAACGAUGCGUAGCCGACCUGAGAGGGUGAUCGGCCACACUGGAACUGAGACACGGUCCAGACUCCUACGGGAGGCAGCAGUAGGGAAUCUUCCGCAAUGGGCGAAAGCUUGACGGAGCAACGCCGCGUGAGUGAUGAAGGUCUUCGGAUCGUAAAACUCUGUUAUUAGGGAAGAACAAAUGUGUAAGUAACUAUGCACGUCUUGACGGUACCUAAUCAGAAAGCCACGGCUAACUACGUG